GAUAAUCGUCACUGGUGUUGGCCACCACCACAAUUACCACCAUGAGCACCCUGUGUCUCACCUGGAUGUCUGGCUCUGUCUGCGGCAUGUCCCCGAAGUGCUGGCUGAUGCAUCCGUGGUAUCGGGGCUCCAACUUUGAGAACCAGCGCUCGGCACAGCAGAGCCACACGUGCCGUGCUGUAGCCAUCCCGGGCUGACCUCUCCGUGACCUGGAAACGACGUCCGCCCACGGCGCUCACGAGGGAGCGGCCGUCUGGGUACAGGUGCACACCCCGCACCUCUAGCAUGCAGCCCACAUCCGCGAACCUGACCCACAGCACACAUGGGGGGCACACACUUCGAAUGAGACGAAUCAGCCAAAUAAAAUCGAAUCUCAAUUUCAUCUGAGCUUCAAAAUCUGAAUAUAACUGAACCUAAAUCUUUAUUGCUUGAACUUAAAAAGCACAACAACUAAAUACAUUAUAAAAUAUAAUAUACAGGGGGCACACACGUAACACUAACACACACUCUAAGAGCACACACAAUAACCAAAGCACAAAUAAACUAAGAGACAUGGGGUCGCAGAGGGACAGCAAAGACAGACAAGAUGGUGCGAGUGAUGCCAAGAAGAGAAGAAGCACUGUGAACAGCAACAAUGCAAAGUUAAUAAACUAAUUAAAAGGGGGCAUGAAUACGCAAGGUUAGGGUUAGCGUGAGUGGUCAGAUUCGUGCUGGAGGCUGACUGGCUGGGUUCUUGGGCCAAGAUAGACCCCGUGUUUGGUUGGCGAAUGCACACUUACCUGUUUGCCCCUCCCCAAAUCGGCAAAUUAUGGCAUUUUGCGGUGUUUGCCAGAUUUCGGUGUAGUUGUUGUAGAGCAUGGUGUGGCUCGCUCACCCGUGCUGCUGGUCCCAGGCGCACAUGCCGAAUGAGCGAGUUCCAUCACGGAUGCAGCGGCGCAGCAUGAGGCGGUAGCGCGCCUCAAACACGUGCAGGGGGCACGGCACCCAGGGGAAUGCCACGGUGCACACAAAUAUCGGCACCUCACUGCAUAGUACCACACACACCUUGUCAACACGGCAUGCAGGGGAACAACCACGGUAAACACAAAAACCGGCACCUUGCUGCACCGGAAUAUACACACCCCCUCAACACGACGCACACACUACACCACACAGGACAUCAACAAUGCACCCAGAGGAAGGUUAUGGUGUACGCACACACCGGCACCUCGCUGCUUGCACCGCACGGCCAAACCCCCACAUCAACACAGCACGCACACCACACACCGCACGACACUCAGGGGGAAUGCCACAUUCAUUCCUGUAUUCCCAUGUGUCCCAGUCUGUGCAACGCACCCGGCCAUCUCCUUCCGCUCCUCCGCAUUCUGUCGCUCUCUCUCUCGCCUCUCCUCAGCCAGGAAGUGAACCAUCACCCCUUCCAGACAUGCGUUGCGGGUGAACACGGCACGCGCCAAGAACUGCACACAGGAACACACACACACCACAUUUACACACUGCCCGUAACUGUAAAUUUGUGUCAUUCCCCCAUAUAGCCAACAGCCUCCCCACAUCCACCAUGGCUCCCUGAAUAUGUCCUUGUCCUCAUAUAUGUCCCUCUGUCUCAACGUGUGCCCUGAGCCUGUAUGUCCCCUUGUGUCCCUCCUUGUGUUCCUGUGAGUUUCCAUAUGUUUCAUUGUCUUCAUAUCCAAAAAUCUCUCUAGAAAUCUUGACUUUAAGCUUUCGUGACUGCAGGAAUUCAUCCUCUUUGGGUCUUUCGGUAAAGUCACGUAGAUAGAAAAAUAAAAAAAAUAAAUCACGACGGUUCGAUCGCAACACAAGCAAUCGUCCUCAGGUGAGGACGAUCUAUCUACGUGACUUUACCGGAAGAACCAAAAAGUAUGAAUCCCUCUACAAACCCUCUCAUGUCCCCGGUUUCACACAAUGUGCUCCCCUUUGUUUUCCAGUGUCACACUGACCAUGUCCCCCUUAUAUUCCCCAUGUCCCUGUGUCCCUCUUGUCCCAUGAACUCUUUGUUACUCAUAUUCCCCCUGCCCCGUGUCCGCCGAUCACCCCCGAUCAUUUCCGUGUCCCCCACUGUCCCGGGUCCCCAUGUUCCCGAUGUCUCCGUGUCCCCCAUGCCCACCUCCACGAGCCCCUCCUUGCAGAGUGGGCACUGAUGCCGGUGGUCGAGGCUACGCUCAAGGCAGGCGGUGCAGAACGUGUGGCCGCACGGUGUCGUCACGGGCUCCCACAGUAGCCU
Petromyzon marinus (sea lamprey) is the source of this 2239-nucleotide non-coding RNA. NCBI's taxonomy places the organism in Eukaryota, Metazoa, Chordata, Hyperoartia, Petromyzontiformes, Petromyzontidae. The record is from RefSeq and is a predicted model, not a curated record.